AAAUACCUAUUAUUUUGACUAACCCGUUGGUGCAUUUUGUAAUGACCCCGCUUUCUGCUCCGGGGGUUGUGGGUUAAAUUCCCACCCUGCGUCUGGGUGUAAUAUUUGCAUUUAUAUAUUUAUAUAAGUACUCUUUCUAUGUUUAUUUAU
Molecule: long non-coding RNA, 150 nt
Organism: Melitaea cinxia (Glanville fritillary)
Lineage: Eukaryota; Metazoa; Arthropoda; Insecta; Lepidoptera; Nymphalidae
Exons: 3
Source: RefSeq, a predicted model, not a curated record